UUAUACGCCCGUCUAUGACGGGACGUAUUAUGGUAUACCCCGCGUCCGUCUGUCCGUCCGUCCGUCUGUCCGUCCGUAUGUCUGUUAAUGUCGUACGCUACGUCAAAUAUCCUUUGACAGAUUUUCUUCAAAUUUUAACACAAUCUUAAUAUUGAUAAACCCUGAUCCCCUUUCGUUUUUGACGGAAUUCUGAAUUGUCGUUCCAGAGUUAUGGGACUUUGUUCGUCAAAAUUUCGUGAUUUCAUUGAAUGUCCUACUGUAGCUAUAUAAAAAUGUUAAAGUUGUUAUAACUUUGGUAUGCUUGGACCUAGAGUCUUGAAACUUGACAUGAAGGUUGGCCAGAACUAGUAAGUAACCACUGGACAUUUCAAGGUCAUUCAUUUGAAGGUCAAGGUCACUGUGACCUUGAAUGUAAAAAUGUUAAAGUUCUUAUUUCAUGUUAUAACUUUGGUAUGCUUGUACCUAGAGUCUUCAAACUUGAAAUAAAGAUUGGCCAGUACUAGAAGAUGACCACUGGUCAUUUCAAUGUCAUUCAUUUGAAGGUCAAGGUCACUGUGACCUUAAAUGUUAAAAUGUUAAAAUUGUUAUAACUUUGGUAUGCUUGGACAUAGAGUCUUCAAACUUGACAUGAAGGUUUGCAAGCACACUUAGAUGACCACUGGUCAUUUCAAGGUCAUUCAUUCUAAGGUCAAGGUCACACAAGGUCACUGUGACCUUAAAUGUUAAAAUGUUAAAAUUGUUAUAACUUUGGUAUGCUUGGACAUAGAGUCUUCAAACUUGACAUGAAGGUUUGCAAGCACACUUAGAUGACCACUGGUCAUUUCAAGGUCAUUCAUUCUAAGGUCAAGGUCACUGUGACCUUAAAUGUUAUUGUUGUUCAUGUAUCCUACCGUAGCUCAAAUAUCCCCCGAUGGAUUUUUUAUACGCCCGUCUAUGACGGGACGUAUUAUGGUAUACCCCGCGUCCGUCUGUCCGUCCGUCCGUCCGUCCGUCCGUCCGUCUGUUAAUGUCGUACGCUACGUCAAAUAUCCUUUGACAGAUUUUCUUCAAAUUUUAACACAAUCUUAAUAUUGAUAAACCCUGAUCCCCUUUCGUUUUUGACGGAAUUCUGAAUUGUCGUUCCAGAGUUAUGGGACUUUGUUCGUCAAAAUUUCGUGAUUUCAUUGAAUGUCCUACUGUAGCUCAAAUAUCCUUCGAUGGAUUUUUUUCAAAUUUCAACACAAUCUUAAUAUUGAUAAACCCUGAUCCCCUUUCGUUUUUGACGGAAUUCUGAAUUGUCGUUCCAGAGUUAUGGGACUUUGUUCGUCAAAAUUUCGUGAUUUCCAUGCUCAUGUACUUAUAAAAUAAACCAUGUAUUCAAAUACAAAUAAACUGAAGUAAAAAAAUGA
Dreissena polymorpha is the source of this 1388-nucleotide long non-coding RNA. RefSeq lists it as uncharacterized. The record is from RefSeq and is a predicted model, not a curated record. The transcript is spliced from 2 exons. NCBI's taxonomy places the organism in Eukaryota, Metazoa, Mollusca, Bivalvia, Myida, Dreissenidae.